Molecule: long non-coding RNA, 99 nt
Organism: Etheostoma cragini (Arkansas darter)
Lineage: Eukaryota; Metazoa; Chordata; Actinopteri; Perciformes; Percidae
Exons: 3
Source: RefSeq, a predicted model, not a curated record
UUAAAUGUAGUACCACCAUUGUACCACAAUAGGUUUAGAUGGUUUCCUUUUCUAAAAACACCGUAUUUUUGUUGUACUGCACAUUGCUGCAGAUCCUGU